GAGUUUGAUCCUGGCUCAGAACGAACGCUGGCGGCAGGCCUAACACAUGCAAGUCGAACGCCCCGCAAGGGGAGUGGCAGACGGGUGAGUAACGCGUGGGAACCUUCCCUAUAGUACGGAAUAUACCAGGGAAACUUGGAGCAAUACCGUAUACGCCCGAAAGGGGAAAGAUUUAUCGCUAUAGGAUGGGCCCGCGUAGGAUUAGCUAGUUGGUGAGGUAAUGGCUCACCAAGGCGACGAUCCUUAGCUGGUCUGAGAGGAUGAUCAGCCACACUGGGACUGAGACACGGCCCAGACUCCUACGGGAGGCAGCAGUGGGGAAUAUUGGGCAAUGGGCGAAAGCCUGACCCAGCCAUGCCGCGUGAGUGACGAAGGCCUUAGGGUUGUAAAGCUCUUUUGGCGGGGACGAUAAUGACGGUACCCGCAGAAUAAGCCCCGGCUAACUUCGUGCCAGCCGCCGCCGUAA
Molecule: ribosomal RNA, 466 nt
Filed under: uncultured Alphaproteobacteria bacterium
Lineage: Bacteria; Pseudomonadati; Pseudomonadota; Alphaproteobacteria
Also listed under: 1 other name
Description: bacterial SSU rRNA
Rfam family: Bacterial small subunit ribosomal RNA
Source: RNAcentral